UUUUAUGUUAUGUGGCGUGUACCCUAAAAAAAAAAAUAGAGGUGCAGUGCUCCAGCACGGGAUGAGGCAGCGUGGACAGGAGCAUCUCCCAACCUCAGUGAAGUCUGAGCCGCGUGCCUGCAACAAUCCCACUGUGGCAGAGAACCGCAGAGUUCCUUCCGGUUUGGCAGCAGUCAUUCGCAACCUCACAGCCCUCUGGAACCCCAGCCUGGGGGUCUCAGAACGCCGAGGCGGGGACUGGGAGCCGAGUCGGAUUCCGAGACUAUGGGCCAGGGUUGGCUGGAUUCAGUUACCUGGCUGAGGCCUGGUGAGCAAAAUAUCCCAAACCUCGCGUGAUCUGGAAGGGGAAGCCGGAUAAAUACGGAUCUCCAGAUGUGCCAGUCUCGAGUCUAUCGAUAUGAGGUCCCCCUAGAGUUUCUAUUCAUCAUUUUAACCGCAUUUCAUCGAUCUUGAGACACGGCUUUUGAUAUUUUAUCACCUCAAGAUAAAUAGUGUUAGAUGUCUAAUAGCAGCGUUUUUCUAAGAGAUACAUGAAACAACAGUGUCAGAAACGAUGCUGUCUUCCAUGCGAUGAAAUUGUUGUAAUAGGUGCUCAAUAAAUGUUGACAAUAAAUGA
Homo sapiens (human) is the source of this 616-nucleotide long non-coding RNA. RefSeq annotates it as CDKN2A antisense RNA 1. Lineage: Eukaryota; Metazoa; Chordata; Mammalia; Primates; Hominidae. The transcript has a single exon. The record is from RefSeq and is marked validated.